This is a non-coding RNA of Myotis brandtii (Brandt's bat), 74 nucleotides long. The record is from Rfam. Lineage: Eukaryota; Metazoa; Chordata; Mammalia; Chiroptera; Vespertilionidae.
GCUGGUGUGGCUCAGUGGAUAGAGCGUCAGCCUUUGGACUGAAGGGUCCCGGGUUCGAAUCCCGGUCAAGGGCA